RNAcentral lists this ribosomal RNA (465 nucleotides) under Vreelandella stevensii. RNAcentral's name for it is "partial 16S ribosomal RNA". It matches the Rfam family "Bacterial small subunit ribosomal RNA", at positions 338 to 795 of the family's 1533-position model. Lineage: Bacteria; Pseudomonadati; Pseudomonadota; Gammaproteobacteria; Oceanospirillales; Halomonadaceae. The record is from RNAcentral.
CCUACGGGAGGCAGCAGUGGGGAAUAUUGGACAAUGGGGGGAACCCUGAUCCAGCCAUGCCGCGUGUGUGAAGAAGGCCCUCGGGUUGUAAAGCACUUUCAGUGAGGAAGAACGCCUGGUGGUUAAUACCCAUCAGGAAAGACAUCACUCACAGAAGAAGCACCGGCUAACUCCGUGCCAGCAGCCGCGGUAAUACGGAGGGUGCGAGCGUUAAUCGGAAUUACUGGGCGUAAAGCGCGCGUAGGUGGCUUGAUAAGCCGGUUGUGAAAGCCCCGGGCUCAACCUGGGAACGGCAUCCGGAACUGUCAAGCUAGAGUGCAGGAGAGGAAGGUAGAAUUCCCGGUGUAGCGGUGAAAUGCGUAGAGAUCUGGAGGAAUACCAGUGGCGAAGGCGGCCUUCUGGACUGACACUGACACUGAGGUGCGAAAGCGUGGGUAGCAAACAGGAUUAGAUACCCCGGUAGUC